This is a long non-coding RNA of Etheostoma spectabile (orangethroat darter), 589 nucleotides long. RefSeq lists it as uncharacterized. The transcript has 2 exons. The record is from RefSeq and is a predicted model, not a curated record. NCBI's taxonomy places the organism in Eukaryota, Metazoa, Chordata, Actinopteri, Perciformes, Percidae.
ACCUUACACCUCAGAAAGUCCACACUGAACAAUGGAAGGUGCAUAAUUGUACCUUAAAGGUGCAUAAUUGUACCUUCAACAUACAUUUUUGUACUUUUAAGGGAACAUUUGCUUGUUUGUACCUUAGGGAACAAAAAUGAACCUGUAUUGCACCUUUUCUUUUGACAGUGUAGAUUACGCUUCAGGACGAUUAAAACCAUCGCGAUUCAGUUAUAAUCUCAACUGAUUAAUAUCUUUAACACAUUAUCGUUAAUUAUGAGCAGAUUCCUCGAUGCAUCGUUACAUCCCCGGUUGGGUCAGAGCGGCCAUCUUGUAAAUACACUUUUAUAACGCUGAUAGAGGCAAACUCAUAGCUGUGUGUGUACGUUUCUCCAUGAACAUUGAAUGUGUGUAACUUCUCUGCUUCAUAUGGUCUUUGCUCUGUCUCUGGAUGCUGAUUUGUAAUUCUUAAAAAACAAAAAAAAAGGUACAUUGCUGUGUAAUUUGUAGCUAAACCGUGGUGACACUCUCUCUGUGGCUGACUGUACUUGAUGCGUAGUGCAUAGCGCCUCGUUCCUACUGUAUUAAAACGCAGUGAAAUGCAUGAGUG